Molecule: ribosomal RNA, 420 nt
Filed under: uncultured bacterium
Lineage: Bacteria
Description: bacterial SSU rRNA
Rfam family: Bacterial small subunit ribosomal RNA
Source: RNAcentral
UAAGGAAUAUUGCUCAAUGGGAGAAAUCCUGAAGCAGCAACGCCGCGUGGAGGAUGAAGGGUCUAUGACUUGUAAACUCCUGUAAAGAAGGAAAAAAUUCCCAUUAGAUGGGAGAUGAUGGUACUUCUGGAGUAAGCCCCGGCUAACUACGUGCCAGCAGCCGCGGUAAUACGUAGGGGGCAAGCGUUGUCCGGAUUUACUAGGUGUAAAGGGUGCUCAGGCGGAUUUGUAAGUCAGAGGUGAAAUCUUACAGCUUAACUGUGAAACUGCCUUUGAUACUGCAAGCCUAGAGUAUGGAAGAGAGUGAUGGAAUAUCUGGUGUAGCAGUGAAAUGCGUAGAUAUCAGAUAGAACACCAAUGGCGAAGGCAGUCACUUGGUCCAUUACUGACGCUAAAGCACGAAAGCGUGGGUAGCAAACA